This 472-nucleotide ribosomal RNA is filed under the name Streptococcus constellatus. RNAcentral describes it as "bacterial SSU rRNA". It matches the Rfam family "Bacterial small subunit ribosomal RNA", at positions 28 to 474 of the family's 1533-position model. The record is from RNAcentral. Lineage: Bacteria; Bacillati; Bacillota; Bacilli; Lactobacillales; Streptococcaceae.
GACGAACGCUGGCGGCGUGCCUAAUACAUGCAAGCAGAACGCACAGGAUGCACCGUAGUUUACUACACCGUAUUCUGUGAGUUGCGAACGGGUGAGUAACGCGUAGGUAACCUGCCUGGUAGCGGGGGAUAACUAUUGGAAACGAUAGCUAAUACCGCAUAAGAACAUUUACUGCAUGGUAGAUGUUUAAAAGGUGCAAGAGCAUCACUACCAGAUGGACCUGCGUUGUAUUAGCUAGUUGGUGAGGUAACGGCUCACCAAGGCAACGAUACAUAGCCGACCUGAGAGGGUGAUCGGCCACACUGGGACUGAGACACGGCCCAGACUCCUACGGGAGGCAGCAGUAGGGAAUCUUCGGCAAUGGGGGGAACCCUGACCGAGCAACGCCGCGUGAGUGAAGAAGGUUUUCGGAUCGUAAAGCUCUGUUGUUAAGGAAGAACGUGUGUGAGAGUGGAAAGUUCACACAGUGACG